ACACAUGCAAGUCGAGGGGCAGCAUAACGAUAGCUUGCUAUUGUUGAUGGCGACCGGCGCACGGGUGAGUAACGCGUAUCCAACCUGGCCCAUGCUAGGGUACAGCCCGCCGAAAGGCGGAUUAAUGCCUUAUGUGUCCUUUGAUGACAUCAGAUUAGGAUAAAAGAUUUAUCGGCAUGGGAUGGGGAUGCGUCCGAUUAGCUAGACGGCGGGGUAACGGCCCACCGUGGCGACGAUCGGUAGGGGUUCUGGGAGGAAGGUCCCCCACAUUGGAACUGAGACACGGUCCAAACUCCUACGGGAGGCAGCAGUGAGGAAUAUUGGUCAAUGGGCGCGAGCCUGAACCAGCCAAGUAGCGUGCAGGAAGACGGCCCUAUGGGUUGUAAACUGCUUUUGUGCGGGGAUAAAGUGCCUUACGUGUAGGGUUUUGUAGGUACCGCAUGAAUAAGGACCGGCUAAUUCCGUGCCAGCAGCCGCGGUAAUACGGAAGGUCCUGGUGCUAUCCGGAUUUAUUGGGUUUAAAGGGAGCGUAGGCGGGCUGUUAAGCGUGCUGUGAAAAGCCCCGGCUCAACCGGGGUCGUGCAGCGCGGACUGGCGGUCUUGAGUGCGCGGUAGGAAGGCGGAACUCGUGGUGUAGCGGUGAAAUGCUUAGAUAUCACGAAGAACCCCGAUUGCGAAGGCAGCUUUCCGCAGCGUUACUGACGCUGAUGCUCGAAGGUGCGGGUAUCGAACAGGAUUAGAUACCCUGGUAGUCCGCACGGUAAACGAUGGAUGCUCGCUGUUCCGUUUUUUUAUUGGAGUGGCCAAGCGAAAGCGUUAAGCAUCCCACCUGGGGAGUACGCCGGCAACGGUGAAACUCAAAGGAAUUGACGGGGGCCCGCACAAGCGGAGGAACAUGUGGUUUAAUUCGAUGAUACGCGAGGAACCUUACCCGGGCUUGAACUGCAGUUGCAGGGCUAGGAGACUGGUCCAUCCCUUCGGGGCGGCUGUGGAGGUGCUGCAUGGUUGUCGUCAGCUCGUGCCGUGAGGUGUCGGCUUAAGUGCCAUAACGAGCGCAACCCUUUUUGCCAGUUGCCAUCAAGUGAAGUUGGGGACUCUGGUGAUACUGCCUCCGCAAGGAGUGAGGAAGGUGGGGAUGACGUCAAAUCAGCACGGCCCUUACGUCCGGGGCUACACACGUGUUACAAUGGCGCGUACAGAGGGCAGGCUUGUCGCAAGGCUGGUCGAAUCCUCAAACCGCGUCUCAGUUCGGAUUGGGGUCUGCAACCCGACCCCAUGAAGCUGGAUUCGCUAGUAAUCGCGCAUCAGCCAUGGCGCGGUGAAUACGUUCCCGGGCCUUGUACACACCGCCCGUCAAGCCAUGAAAGCCGGGGGCGCCUGAAGUCCGUGACC
Molecule: ribosomal RNA, 1392 nt
Filed under: uncultured bacterium
Lineage: Bacteria
Description: 16S ribosomal RNA
Rfam family: Bacterial small subunit ribosomal RNA
Source: RNAcentral